GGAUAAGCGGAAGAAAUUCCGUCUAAUACCGCGUAACAACGUUGGGAGGCAUCUCCCGAUGUUUAAAGAUUUAUCGGCUGCGGAUGGCCAUGCGGCGCAUUAGCUAGUCGGCGGGGUAACGGCCCACCGAGGCGACGAUGCGUAGGGGUUCUGAGAGGAAGGUCCCCCACACUGGUACUGAGACACGGACCAGACUCCUACGGGAGGCAGCAGUGAGGAAUAUUGGUCAAUGGCCGAGAGGCUGAACCAGCCAAGUCGCGUGAGGGAUGACGGCCCUACGGGUUGUAAACCUCUUUUGUCGGGGAGCAAAGGGAGUCACGUGUGACUCAUUGAGAGUACCCGAAGAAAAAGCAUCGGCUAACUCCGUGCCAGCAGCCGCGGUAAUACGGAGGAUGCGAGCGUUAUCCGGAUUUAUUGGGUUUAAAGGGUGCGCAGGCGGAGGUGCAAGUCAGCGGUCAAAUUGCGGGGCUCAACCCCGUACUGCCGUUGAAACUGCAUCCCUUGAGUGCGCGAGAAGUAUGCGGAAUGCGUGGUGUAGCGGUGAAAUGCAUAGAUAUCACGCAGAACUCCGAUUGCGAAGGCAGCAUACCGGCGCGCAACUGACGCUCAUGCACGAAAGCGUGGGUAUCGAACAGGAUUAGAUACCCUGGUAGUCCACGCAGUAAACGAUGAACACUAACUGUUCGGCCAGAAUGAUGGCUGAGU
RNAcentral lists this ribosomal RNA (705 nucleotides) under uncultured bacterium. RNAcentral describes it as "bacterial SSU rRNA". It matches the Rfam family "Bacterial small subunit ribosomal RNA", at positions 141 to 844 of the family's 1533-position model. The record is from RNAcentral.